GGGGAUGUUUGAGGCAGAUUUGUAACCGCCGUUUUGAGGCCAGCUUGCUGGUACCCAAACGGUGUUAGCAUUUUUUGUCUUGGCCAUUUGAGUAUGGCUUACAGGCAUUUAUUGGUUCGAUCUGAGUGUAAGUUACGGUCGCAUGCGACACGUGCUUUUCAAUUAGUUCGGUCCAGUUAAUGCUCUCGUACUCCUUCCCCAUGUAAAAGCCGGUCAUCUAUCCGACCCGUCUUGAAACACGGACCAAGGAGUUUAUCGUGUGCGCAAGUUUUUUGGUGUUAAAAACCGAAAAGCGAAAUGAAAGUAAAUGACUCUUUAGAGUCUGAUGUGCGAUCUUGUAAAAAAGUGUAGCAUGGCCCCAUUCUAACUGUUUACAGUAGGGUGGCGGAAGAGCGUACGCGGUGAGACCCGAAAGAUGGUGAACUAUUCCUGAGCAGGACGAAGCCAGAGGAAACUCUGGUGGAAGUCCGAAGCGGUUUUUG
RNAcentral lists this ribosomal RNA (482 nucleotides) under Meloidogyne javanica (root-knot nematode). RNAcentral describes it as "partial large subunit ribosomal RNA". It matches the Rfam family "Eukaryotic large subunit ribosomal RNA", at positions 433 to 889 of the family's 3401-position model. Lineage: Eukaryota; Metazoa; Nematoda; Chromadorea; Rhabditida; Meloidogynidae. The record is from RNAcentral.